UAGGGAAUCUUCCACAAUGGACGCAAGUCUGAUGGAGCAACGCCGCGUGAGUGAAGAAGGUUUUCGGAUCGUAAAGCUCUGUUGUUGGUGAAGAAGGAUAGAGGCAGUAACCGGUCUUUAUUUGACGGUAAUCAACCAGAAAGUCACGGCUAACUACGUGCCAGCAGCCGCGGUAAUACGUAGGUGGCAAGCGUUGUCCGGAUUUAUUGGGCGUAAAGCGAGCGCAGGCGGAAUGAUAAGUCUGAUGUGAAAGCCCACGGCUCAACCGUGGAACUGCAUCGGAAACUGUCAUUCUUGAGUGCAGAAGAGGAGAGUGGAACUCCAUGUGUAGCGGUGGAAUGCGUAGAUAUGGAAGAACACCAGUGGCGAAGGCGGCUCUCUGGUCUGCAACUGACGCUGAGGCUCGAAAGCAUGGGUAGCGAACAGGAUUAGAUACCCUGGUAGUCCAUGCCGUAAACGAUGAGCGCUAGGUGUUGGGGACUUUCCGGUCCUCAGUGCCGCAGCAAACGCAUUAAGCGCUCCGCCUGGGGAGUACGACCGCAAGGUUGAAAC
RNAcentral lists this ribosomal RNA (552 nucleotides) under uncultured bacterium. RNAcentral describes it as "partial 16S ribosomal RNA". It matches the Rfam family "Bacterial small subunit ribosomal RNA", at positions 355 to 900 of the family's 1533-position model. The record is from RNAcentral.